AGUGAACGCUGGCGGUAGGCCUAACACAUGCAAGUCGAACGGCAGCACAGUAAGAGCUUGCUCUUACGGGUGGCGAGUGGCGGACGGGUGAGGAAUACAUCGGAAUCUACUUUUUCGUGGGGGAUAACGUAGGGAAACUUACGCUAAUACCGCAUACGACCUACGGGUGAAAGCAGGGGAUCUUCGGACCUUGCGCGAUUGAAUGAGCCGAUGUCGGAUUAGCUAGUUGGCGGGGUAAAGGCCCACCAAGGCGACGAUCCGUAGCUGGUCUGAGAGGAUGAUCAGCCACACUGGAACUGAGACACGGUCCAGACUCCUACGGGAGGCAGCGGUGGGGAAUAUUGGACGAUGGGCGCAAGCCUGAUCCAGCCAUACCGCGUGGGUGAAGAAGGCCUUCGGGUUGUAGAGCCCUUUUGUUGGGAAAGAAAAGCAGCAGGUUAAUACCCCGCUGUUCUGACGGUACCCAAAGAAUAAGCACCGGCUAACUUCGUG
Molecule: ribosomal RNA, 492 nt
Filed under: uncultured bacterium
Lineage: Bacteria
Description: partial 16S ribosomal RNA
Rfam family: Bacterial small subunit ribosomal RNA
Source: RNAcentral